GCACUGGGAGGAGGAAGUAAAGAGAUGGUGAGAGAGAAGAACAAGUCUUCCAUUUUAGAACUUGGUCUCCCAAGAAGAGGAUGUUAUUUGGUCUUUGGAUUUAUGUACAAAGAAAAGUAUCGGCGAAUGACUGAAGCCUCCAAGUUGCUAUACAGAACCAUUUCAAAUCAAGAUGCAGUCCCCAUCCAACCAGGAUUAUGUGUGAG
Molecule: long non-coding RNA, 206 nt
Filed under: Naja naja (Indian cobra)
Lineage: Eukaryota; Metazoa; Chordata; Lepidosauria; Squamata; Elapidae
Description: lncRNA (ENSNNAG00000008041.1)
Source: RNAcentral